RNAcentral lists this ribosomal RNA (292 nucleotides) under uncultured bacterium. Its description in RNAcentral is "partial 16S ribosomal RNA". It matches the Rfam family "Bacterial small subunit ribosomal RNA", at positions 505 to 796 of the family's 1533-position model. The record is from RNAcentral.
GUGCCAGCCGCCGCGGUAAUACGAACUGUGCGAACGUUAUUCGGAAUCACUGGGCUUACAGGGUGCGUAGGCGGCUAUUCAGGUCAGGUGUGAAAGCCCCCGGCUCAACCGGGGAACUGCGCUUGAAACCGAGUGGCUCGAGUCAGCUAGAGGUACACGGAACUUCCAGUGGAGCGGUGAAAUGUGUUGAUAUUGGAAGGAACACCGGAGGCGAAAGCGGUGUACUGGGGCUGGUCUGACGCUGAGGCACGAAAGCCAGGGGAGCGAACGGGAUUAGAUACCCCCGUAGUCC